Bolinopsis microptera is the source of this 1125-nucleotide long non-coding RNA. RefSeq lists it as uncharacterized. The record is from RefSeq and is a predicted model, not a curated record. Lineage: Eukaryota; Metazoa; Ctenophora; Tentaculata; Lobata; Bolinopsidae. The transcript has 2 exons.
UCACUGUAGAUCAUGAGCUCGAAUAAUGAGGAACUUGUCCAAGCUACCAAAAAAAAAUGGAAUGAGCGAUCCAAAGCAAGUGGAAUAGACAAGUUAUUUGGAGGUACCGGAUACAUAACUAUUGGUUACUACAAAACAGAGACAGAUUCUCUUAUCCAAAGUGUUCUGAAUAUGACGGCUCGACUUGCUGAAAUUUCUGAGAUGAAUUCCGAUUCCCACGUGCUGGAUCUAGGAUGUGGCCGUGGUCGACCUGUGUUAGAUACUGCUGUUAGAACGGGUUGCUCUGUAGUCGGAGUUGAUUUGGCUGAAGGUCAUAUCGCCAUGGCAAACGAGGCUGCCGAGCUCUACAAGAAGGAAAAAAAGCCCGAUCUAAAGUAUGAAUUCUAUGCGGCUUCAUAUUUCGAUCUACCUGAAGCUGUGACCAAUCAAACGUUUACCCACGUGUUGAUGCAGACCUCUAUGUUUUAUGCUCAUCACCGAAUUGAUGAAAUCCUGACAAACAUCUCCAAAGUCCUGCGUCCAGGUGGGGUUCUGGUAACUACUGACUUUCUUAGGGUUUCUGAUACGGCCGAUCUCACCAAAUUUAAGGAAAUGAAUUCCAUGCCUGUGAUUCUUUCCUUGGAUGAAAUGAAAGCUGCUUUUGUAAAGAAUGGACUAGAAUAUUGUGGUGGGGAAGAUUUGGAUAAACAUUGUAUGAAGUGCAAUGCUAUGAAGGCUCAGAAGAUUGUCGACGAAAACAUUGAGGGUCCUACUGUUGCGUUUUUCAAUAUGAGAGAAGGGUCUGUUCGGGACAAAAAGGUUUCCUUUAAAAUAGUUAUGGCAAAUAAAAUUUAAUUUUAACUAUUUAGAAUUCAAAUACUCGUAUUAUAUCAAUAUCAGUGUUAGCUAAAAUUUAUCUUUGUUGGUUUUAUGAACUUAUAGUGACCCUUUUUUAAUCGUUCAGUGACGCCGAGUUGUUUAUUUUAGCGUUACUUUAAAGUUUGAUCUUUUUCUGUUUAUAUUUUGAUGGUUUUUAGUAUAUAGUUUGACUGAAUUUUAUGUACAAUUAACAUGUAACGAUUCAUGGUUUAUGCAUAAUUAGUUGAUCAUAUAUUUAAGUUUGACUCAAUCAAGACAGCAGCAUCA